GCUCGAGUGGUGGAAUGGUAUACACGGAGGAUUCAAAAUCCUCUGUCGCAAGACAUGUGGGUUCGAAUCCCACCUCGAGUA
This 81-nucleotide transfer RNA is filed under the name Alphaproteobacteria bacterium. RNAcentral describes it as "tRNA-Leu". It matches the Rfam family "tRNA". From Rfam's summary of the family: Transfer RNA (tRNA) molecules are approximately 80 nucleotides in length. Their secondary structure includes four short double-helical elements and three loops (D, anti-codon, and T loops). Further hydrogen bonds mediate the characteristic L-shaped molecular structure. tRNAs have two regions of fundamental functional importance: the anti-codon, which is responsible for specific mRNA codon recognition, and the 3' end, to which the tRNAs corresponding amino acid is attached (by aminoacyl-tRNA synthetases). tRNAs cope with the degeneracy of the genetic code in two manners: having more than one tRNA (with a specific anti-codon) for a particular amino acid; and 'wobble' base-pairing, i.e. permitting non-standard base-pairing at the 3rd anti-codon position. RNAcentral also lists the same sequence under 1 other name. The record is from RNAcentral. Lineage: Bacteria; Pseudomonadati; Pseudomonadota; Alphaproteobacteria.